CAGACCUCUAAUCGGAAAAGACUACCCGCUGAGUUUAAGCAUAUCACUAAGCGGAGGAGA
RNAcentral lists this ribosomal RNA (60 nucleotides) under Eurhynchium striatum. RNAcentral's name for it is "partial 26S ribosomal RNA". Lineage: Eukaryota; Viridiplantae; Streptophyta; Bryopsida; Hypnales; Brachytheciaceae. The record is from RNAcentral.